This 558-nucleotide long non-coding RNA is filed under the name Homo sapiens (human). RNAcentral describes it as "HSALNT0398509". The record is from RNAcentral. Lineage: Eukaryota; Metazoa; Chordata; Mammalia; Primates; Hominidae.
AUCUGCCCACCUCAGCCUCUCAAAGUGGUGGGAUUACAGGUGUGAGCCACCACACCCAGCCAACAGCGAUUAUUAGUUAAUAAUAGACAUCGUCAUUACACAGCCCAGAAGGCUUUAUCUGAAACCCCUGGGGCCAGAGGUAUUUCACAGCUCAGACAUUCUGGACUUUAGAAAGGUCUGAUGGUGCUGACACCACACAGCAUGGAACACACACAGCAAGGGCCGGGGCAGCCCCCUUAGUCACACACAUCACUGCUCCCACCCUGCGAUUCAGAACAUUCCCGUGAGCUGGAGUGAGCAAAGACUAGCAAGAGUACUAGCUGGCGUCCUGGGGAGGUGUUGAUACCGGUGUUGCCAUCCCCACUGUGCAGAUGGGAAAACUGAGGCACAGAGGAUUAACUACAUGCCUGAGGGAACACAGCUAAAAACACAAGGAAGCCGCUUGCUCGUGGUCUACCUCCUGGGCACCAUUGGUGCGUCCCCAUGUGGCCCCUGUGGCAUGCCCCCUCCUCUGGGGAAGCUUUCUGGAGGUUGGAAGUCUAAAAUCAAUAUAACUGG